This 301-nucleotide ribosomal RNA is filed under the name uncultured bacterium. RNAcentral describes it as "partial 16S ribosomal RNA". It matches the Rfam family "Bacterial small subunit ribosomal RNA", at positions 509 to 807 of the family's 1533-position model. The record is from RNAcentral.
CAGUAGCCGCGGUAAUACAGAGGCCUCAAGCGUUGUUCGGAUUCAUUGGGCGUAAAGGGUGCGUAGGCGGUUCCGUAAGUCGGAUGUGAAAUCUUGGGGCUCAACCUCAAAACUGCAUUCGAUACUGCGGGGCUAGAGGACUGGAGAGGAGAGUGGAAUUCACGGUGUAGCAGUGAAAUGCGUAGAUAUCGUGAGGAAGACCAGCGGCGAAGGCGGCUCUCUGGACAGUUCCUGACGCUGAUGCACGAAGGCCAGGGGAGCAAACGGGAUUAGAUACCCGCGUAGUCCCUGUCUCUUAUAC